Long non-coding RNA from Hippoglossus stenolepis (Pacific halibut), 3897 nucleotides. RefSeq lists it as uncharacterized. The transcript has 9 exons. The record is from RefSeq and is a predicted model, not a curated record. Lineage: Eukaryota; Metazoa; Chordata; Actinopteri; Pleuronectiformes; Pleuronectidae.
UUCAGUGAUCUCUGAGCUCCACCUUCUCCUUUGUCUCUUCACUUGUUCACAUGCUGGCAUUUACAAGUGUUUCAGGUUUGCUCCCUGAUGUUUUCUAGUUCAGUCUUCUUUGCUUUUUGGAGACUUUUGAGUUUGGAUGCAUAAGUUUGUCCGCCUGCCUGCCUGCUUCCUGUCAACUAUAAAUGUUGUUCCAACAGUGGGAGGUCGGAGGUCAUUCUGGAUCCUGAAAGAAUCUUCUGCCCUGAUCCCAGGUCCCCGAGGUCAAAGAUGGUGUGGAGAUAGCAGCUCUCCAGUUGCUGACAUGGAACAGUCCCUGGUCUUUGUUUCCUCUGGUGACAGGCAGAGCCGGAUGCUGGCUGUUUUCCCCUCCAGGUAGGUCAGAGAGCAGGGUCAGCUAGAGGCAGUGUCGGGCAAGAGUUGUGCAUCCCGCUCAACUCUGCACAAGACUGAGUCAGGGGUCUGCUGUUUGAUGUGAAAUAUUGGAGGGCUUUAAACACAAUUUCACCCAAACCCCUUGGCCUUCAUGUGCUAUGGCUCAACAGAAAAAAGGAGUUUGUGAAGGGGUCAAGGAGCACAUCAUCAUCAUCAUCAUUACCAUCUGACGUCAGACACCUUACCAAAGAGUGGCAGCUCCAGCCAUCGAAUGAAAGAGAAGUUUGGCCAAUCCUGUGAUACUAAAGGCGAUCCCGACUGCUGCCAAUUAACCAUUUAAAAGAAAAAUUGAGGCAUGCCCAUGUCUCUUAUCCUCCAAUUGAAAUGGAAACUAGAGUGACACUUCGGGAUUCAGACUAGUGGAGCCGGAUAUCGAACCACCGACCUUCUGGUGAUCCUGAGGCAAAGACCAAAGAAAAGGGCUUUGGCAGAUCUGUAGGUGUUUGGCUGAAGUAACUCUACCACAAUGUAAGGGCGUUCUGGCGAGGAGGUGCGGAGCGGCCCUUAAAUACUCUAGGGCCCGCAUCCUUCAGAGGCUGCAUUUGAAGGACGGUGGGAUCGCAGCGGCGCGGCUAGCCUGUCCAAUUUCGACCGGCUCCUCCAGAUGUGGCCGACAACUGUGUCCUUCCAUCCUCGAGAAAAAUCAAAGCUCCAAUGUGUGGAUGCAGCUCGGGGCCAACCUAUCCCAGGAUUCAUUGCACUUCAGUGACUUAUCAAAGAGGUAAUGGUGCCAGCAAGCGACGAGAUGUCCGAUGCGUGUUCACUCACCCGAACAGCGGUACACAUGUUAACACGCGCAUGCGAGGCGACAGCAAUAAUGGUGGGAUAAGCUGAUCAAGGAAAUCCUCUAUAGACCAGACAGUCUCAUUUUGGUUGAGCCGUCCCGGUCUACGCGGCCCACACAGACCACCUCCUUCGUGGGUCGCGUAGAACAAGUCCUCUGAAGAAGGCGACUCCUGAAACAGUGUUUAUCUCAAUUACAUACAUUUGGAAGUGUUGAAAUCUGUAUUUAUUACGAUUUGCUGAGAAAACACACUGAAUUUGAAAUUGAAAAGAGCAGUUUAUUUCAGGCAAACACUGAUAGGCGAGGUUGUUUAGUCCACUUGAGUUAUGUUUGAAAAACUGAUGAAAACACGGUCAUCUUGCGAAAACGCCCACAUGAGCAAGGUAAGAAACAAACCACAGAAGAUUCAGGGAUGAAAUUCCCUUUUUCUGUCAGAUGUGCUUCUCUCAUUGGUUUGACUGGAGAUGUGUUUAUUUCCAAUGACACCGACAAACCUCUUCUACUAUUACCUUGAAAUUAUUGCAGGGGCGAUGUUGAGUCUGAAGGAGAAGCACUUGUGCACAGCAACAGCUAUAAACAUCUUUUGAUUCGUCCCUUCCCCCUGAAGACAAUGUCCUUCUGUGACAAAUAUUUUUAUACAUUUAUUUUUGUCCGUUCACAUGAAGCACAUGCAUUUGAAUGCUGCUUCCAGGAGACGCCUCGACUCAUGUCAGGGUGGAAGAAAACCUCUAAACCCAGACUUUUUAUUUAUAUAUAUAGGAUCCUUUGAAUACAGAUGCAAUAUUGCAAUUUGUGAAUUUUAACAUUUACUUGUAAGAAUAUGAUCUAAUUUCAUCUGUGUAAAAAGCCUUUAGCACAGGGGGGAAUAUCAGGCGUCUGCCCUAUGAUUCAGUGGAAGCCGCAUUUGCAAUCAGUGUCAAAGCAGCAUCCAAAAUGCUAUAGGGGAUAACCUCAAACUAAUUCAUUUCAUGCAAAUUUUAGAAUCUGAAUAAUGUCGCAUGAAAGCAAGAAUAAUUCCGUGCCUUUUUGGAACGCAUGAACAGAUCCAUGCACGCCCCGUUUCCUCCCAUAACCCCACGCAUGUCCUCAUGUGUGCAGCUGGCUUCCCUCUGUUUUUAUUUACUGAUACAUCACGUCAUGUUGAGGAGCGAUAAAAUACAUAAGUAUUUACAGUUCUCACUUCUGUAAUGAAUUUGUUCCGUGACAAUGUAACGCUCAUUCGGCUUCAGUCCAGAUUUAGGUCAUCUGAGUUCAACAUUAGUUCUCAGUCACCAUAUCUGACCCUGUGGCAGCACAUACUAUGAUUCUUAAAGUUACUGUCAACGGACGAAAUCACACAGUUUGAGCCAAUUUCAGUGGCAACACAAUAACACAUCUCCAAUUGUAGUUUUGAAACAUUGGGAUUUGUUUGACAACAUAAAAAUUAUUUAUUAUUUAUUUAUACGUUAUGUUUACAUCUUCGUCUGAUUGUUUGUUAGACUAUAGUAUUUUGUGAGGGUGGGGCAUUAUGUAAGAACCCAUUCAUUGAAAUCAUGGGGAGGAUCCAGGAGUUUUUGUUUCAGCUUCUUUUACAUUGUGAAGCAGGGUGUUUUUUCACAGAUUUCUUGAAUGGAUUUUGAGAAAAAUAAAACAUGUUUCGAGGAUGCACGCUAAAUCCAUUCUUUGAAAAUUAAACAAUAUUUCAGUGGCAGUAUUUUAAAGGUAUUUGAAAAUAACAAUAACAAACUCUUGUAUGAAACAUUGGACUUCCCCUUGCCAAAUUAUUACAACAAAAUAACUUUUUUUUAAAAAUAACUUGUACUUUAAUAACACGCGUGCAUCUCUUUACCAGAGCCCAACUUAUCUUUUUAAGAGUUUCUCAAUUUGAAAGUCUCCCUCCAAUCAAUUCCUAUUUUCAUUUCACUUGAAGGCUGGUUUCACAUUCAUGUUGAAAGUUUCUCGGUGCCCACCUGAGUUUAACAUUUGUGUGGAUGAAGAUCAUUUUGCAACUUUACAAACUGAGACUCAAUCGUGGUCGAGUAUUCAACAUUUAAACGGUGUGAUGUGGAAACUUGAAGCUUCCAGUGCACUAAAGCUGAAGAUGUUUUUUUUUCAGUAGGAAACCUCGAGUCAAGUUAUUAAACUUUUGAAAUCCCAUUUGCAUGUGCAGAUUCAGGACUUCUCAAUGAAGCAGAGGGCUUAGAUGUCAUUUUAAGAAUCUUUUAACCAGAAAAUUGAAGUUGGUGCAACCUCAUCAGACAAAUAGAGGAUAGUUUUAAAUGUCUGAAAACAUUUCUGUUGAGGACCGUGUAUUUCUCUUUCUUUGUGCACAUUGUAUUAUGGUCUUAUGCAAAAUGCUUUGACAGAACGAGCGAGGAGCAACUCGACAGAGGAUGUAUGGCUCAGUAAAGUGACGGAUGAGGCCGACAGACUGAAAGAUGUCACGAGAGAUUCAGGGGUAAACAGAGCCGCACUGUGUAUAACCACAUUACUGCUGCCUUUAGUCUCACUGUCUGUCGUUUGAAAAGACGUUUUUACUAUGACGAAACAUUCAGUUUUAUAUUGCAUUUUUUGAUUUAGUAUCUGUAUAUGUUUGCUCUUCUUAUGAAUUGCUUCUACUCUUUUUUGCAUUUGAUUUACCCCCGAUGGAGCCGUCACAGAGAAUGAACCACUGUGCACUGUAGGUAUCGAUAGACAGAGGA